This 539-nucleotide unclassified non-coding RNA is filed under the name Hevea brasiliensis (rubber tree). The record is from RNAcentral. Lineage: Eukaryota; Viridiplantae; Streptophyta; Magnoliopsida; Malpighiales; Euphorbiaceae.
GUGAAUGAAGCAUCAGGAAAAAGCAUCUGCAGCUGGAUGUUGGAGGAGCAUUAUAUACCAUUUGUCUACUUGAUAAUAUUGAUCUCAUUUUAUUGCAUCAAAUAAUACUUCAUGGUAUAAGGACCAAAAGAAAGGAAAGAAGAUAGUUGGAAGAACAUCUUGUACCUGAAGGGAUGAAACCGAUGGCGUCCUGCUCCCCUGAAUCUGAGAGGACCUUCAGGACGCUUCUCACAUUGUUCCAUACGAUUGAAACAAUUUGCAAGGUAUGCACCUUGUUGAGCCGCAACCUGAGCUGUUGCUGGAAGAUUUUUCAUUUGAGAGUCCACUUCAGAUAGAGCCUGCUUAAACAUUUCUAUGUCUAUCUUCUUUUUGUCAUUUCCUUGAGCACCCUUCAGUAAGUCAUCAAAAUUUUUCAGUUUUUUCUUUUGCAAAUAAAUAUUCACUUGAGGGUACCUCUCACAGAUGUGGUCAACAACUUCUUUAAAGUCUUGCAAAUCUAAAACACCAGUAUUAUUCUUGUCUGCCUUGCUGAAUAUUGC